UUGGAGGGCAAGUCUGGUGCCAGCAGCCGCGGUAAUUCCAGCUCCAAUAGCGUAUAUUAAAGUUGUUGCAGUUAAAAAGCUCGUAGUUGAAUUUCGGGGUCAGUAGGUUGGUCAUGCCACUGGUAUGUACUGGUCUCACUGAUUCCUCCUUCCUGAUGAACUGUAAUGCCAUUAAUUUGGUGUUGCAGGGAAUCUGGACUGUUACUUUGAAAAAAUUAGAGUGUUUAAAGCAGGCUAACGCCUGAAUACAUUAGCAUGGAAUAAUGAAAUAGGACGUUCGAUCCUAUUUUGUUGGUUUCUAGGAUUGACGUAAUGAUUAAUAGGGAUAGUUGGGGGCAUUAGUAUUCAAUUGUCAGAGGUGAAAUUCUUGGAUUUAUUGAAGACUAACUACUGCGAAAGCAUUUGCCAAGGAUGUUUUCAUUAAUCAAGAACGAAAGUUAGGGGAUCGAAGACGAUCAGAUACCGUCGUAGUCUUAACCAUAAACUAUGCCGACUAGGGAUCGGAUGAUGUUAAUUUUUUAAUGACUCAUUCGGCGCCUUACAGGAAAC
RNAcentral lists this ribosomal RNA (549 nucleotides) under uncultured Glomeromycotina. RNAcentral's name for it is "SSU rRNA". It matches the Rfam family "Eukaryotic small subunit ribosomal RNA", at positions 548 to 1098 of the family's 1831-position model. The record is from RNAcentral. Lineage: Eukaryota; Fungi; Glomeromycota.